This 257-nucleotide ribosomal RNA is filed under the name uncultured bacterium. RNAcentral describes it as "partial 16S ribosomal RNA". It matches the Rfam family "Bacterial small subunit ribosomal RNA", at positions 524 to 777 of the family's 1533-position model. The record is from RNAcentral.
UACGUAGGCAGCAAGCGUUGUUCGGAGUUACUGGGCGUAAAGAGUGCGUAGGUGGUGCCCUAAGUCUGUUGUGAAAUCUCCCGGACUUAACGUGGGAGGGUGCGGUGGAAACUGGGGUGCUUGAGUGUGGGAGAGGUAAGCGGAAUUCCUGGUGUGAGCGGUGAAAUGCGUAGAUAUCGGGAGGAACACCAGUGGCGAAGGCGACUACCUGGCCUGUUCUUGACGCUGAGGCGCGAAAGCUAGGGGAGCAAACGGGG